This 424-nucleotide ribosomal RNA is filed under the name uncultured bacterium. RNAcentral's name for it is "bacterial SSU rRNA". It matches the Rfam family "Bacterial small subunit ribosomal RNA", at positions 355 to 776 of the family's 1533-position model. The record is from RNAcentral.
UGAGGAAUAUUGGACAAUGGAGGCCACUCUGAUCCAGCCAUGCCGCGUGCAGGAAGACUGCCCUAUGGGUUGUAAACUGCUUUUAUACAGGAAGAAACUGCGCUACGAGUAGCGUACUGACGGUACUGUAAGAAUAAGGAUCGGCUAACUCCGUGCCAGCAGCCGCGGUAAUACGGAGGAUCCAAGCGUUAUCCGGAAUCAUUGGGUUUAAAGGGUCCGUAGGUGGUUAAUUAAGUCAGAGGUGAAAGCCAGCAGCUCAACUGUUGAACUGCCUUUGAUACUGAUUAACUUGAGUUAUUGUGAAGUAGUUAGAAUAUGUAGUGUAGCGGUGAAAUGCAUAGAUAUUACAUAGAAUACCGAUUGCGAAGGCAGAUUACUAACAAUAUACUGACACUGAGGGACGAAAGCGUGGGUAGCGAACAGG